UCUGAGACAGGUGCUGCAUGGCUGUCGUCAGCUCGUGUUGUGAAAUGUUGGGUUAAGUCCCGCAACGAGCGCAACCCUUAUCCUUUGUUGCCAGCGGUUCGGCCGGGAACUCAAAGGAGACUGCCAGUGAUAAACUGGAGGAAGGUGGGGAUGACGUCAAGUCACCAUGGCCCUUACGAGUAGGGCUACACACGUGCUACAAUGGCAUAUACAAAGAGAAGCGACCUCGCGAGAGCAAGCGGACCUCAUAAAGUAUGUCGUAGUCCGGAUUGGAGUCUGCAACUCGACUCCAUGAAGUCGGAAUCGCUAGUAAUCGUAGAUCAGAAUGUUACGGUGAAUACGUU
Molecule: ribosomal RNA, 344 nt
Filed under: uncultured Serratia sp.
Lineage: Bacteria; Pseudomonadati; Pseudomonadota; Gammaproteobacteria; Enterobacterales; Yersiniaceae
Description: bacterial SSU rRNA
Rfam family: Bacterial small subunit ribosomal RNA
Source: RNAcentral